RNAcentral lists this ribosomal RNA (496 nucleotides) under uncultured bacterium. Its description in RNAcentral is "partial 16S ribosomal RNA". It matches the Rfam family "Bacterial small subunit ribosomal RNA", at positions 28 to 506 of the family's 1533-position model. The record is from RNAcentral.
GAUGAACGCUGGCGGCGUGCCUAAUACAUGCAAGUCGAGCGAACAGAUAAGGAGCUUGCUCCUUUGACGUUAGCGGCGGACGGGUGAGUAACACGUGGGUAACCUACCUAUAAGACUGGGAUAACUUCGGGAAACCGGAGCUAAUACCGGAUAAUAUUUCGAACCGCAUGGUUCGAUAGUGAAAGAUGGUUUUGCUAUCACUUAUAGAUGGACCCGCGCCGUAUUAGCUAGUUGGUAAGGUAACGGCUUACCAAGGCGACGAUACGUAGCCGACCUGAGAGGGGGAUCGGCAACACGGAAACUAGGACCCGUCCCAGGCCCCUACGGGAGGCAGAAGUAGGGAAUUUUCCGGAAUGGGGGAAAGCCGGACGGGGCAACGCCGGGGGAGUGAUGAAGGGUUUGGGAUGGUAAAACCUUUUUAUUGGGGAAAAACAAACGUGAAAGUAACGGUGCACGUUUUGAGGGUACCUAAGCAAAAAGCCACGGCUAAUUACGU